This is a non-coding RNA of Candidatus Roizmanbacteria bacterium, 72 nucleotides long. The record is from Rfam. Lineage: Bacteria; Candidatus Roizmaniibacteriota.
GGGCCGCUAGCUCAACGGUAGAGCAACUCCCUCUUAAGGAGUUGGUUCCGAGUUCGAGUCUCGGGCGGCUCA